RNAcentral lists this ribosomal RNA (453 nucleotides) under uncultured cyanobacterium. RNAcentral describes it as "bacterial SSU rRNA". It matches the Rfam family "Bacterial small subunit ribosomal RNA", at positions 28 to 524 of the family's 1533-position model. The record is from RNAcentral. Lineage: Bacteria; Bacillati; Cyanobacteriota.
GAUGAACGCUGGCGGUAUGCUUAACACAUGCAAGUCGAACGGGAUUCUUCGGAAUCUAGUGGCGGACGGGUGAGUGACGCGUGAGAAUCUGCCUUCAGGUCGGGGACAACAUUUGGAAACGAACGCUAAUACCCGAUGUGCCGCGAGGUGAAAGGUUAACUGCCUGAAGAUGAGCUCGCGUCCGAUUAGCUAGUUGGUGGUGUAAAGGACUACCAAGGCGACGAUCGGUAGCUGGUUUGAGAGGACAAUCAGCCACACUGGGACUGAGACACGGCCCAGACUCCUACGGGAGGCAGCAGUGGGGAAUUUUCCGCAAUGGGCGAAAGCCUGACGGAGCAAUACCGCGUGAGGGACGAAGGCCUGUGGGUUGUAAACCUCUUUUCUCAGGGAAGAAGCUCUGACGGUACCUGAGGAAUCAGCAUCGGCUAACUCCGUGCCAGCAGCCGCGGUAAU